AGGAUGCAUCAUGUGGCCACAACUGUUGAUGCCUUUCACCCUUCAGAGAAUCACAAGAGAAAUGGAUGGAUCCGAUCGGCAUUCUUUACCAACUCUCCAAAAAACUUCCCAGCGAUUCGCCGAACCUUCCGAUUUGGAAAGAUCGCUUCUCGACCCCUAUG
Molecule: unclassified non-coding RNA, 161 nt
Filed under: Stegodyphus dumicola
Lineage: Eukaryota; Metazoa; Arthropoda; Arachnida; Araneae; Eresidae
Description: exocyst complex component 4-like, transcript variant X5
Source: RNAcentral